AAAACGCACAUUAAUUAUCCUUAGGGCCAUGGAAUAAACAAAAACCUUGCAAAAACAAGUUAGCACACCCUAGAAUGGUUCUAGCACAAUUACUAACCUAUGGCUUUGAUACUAGUUGAUGGGAAAAACUC
MicroRNA precursor from Vitis vinifera (wine grape), 131 nucleotides. It matches the Rfam family "MIR845_2 microRNA precursor family". NCBI's taxonomy places the organism in Eukaryota, Viridiplantae, Streptophyta, Magnoliopsida, Vitales, Vitaceae. The record is from Rfam.